AACGGAUGUCCAGGUCUCCAGUCGUACUUGUGCACAUGAACACAGCGCUUCAUCAGCUCUGUCCUUCAGUGGAGACUGAUGACAACAGCAGAACCCGCCGGAGGAGGAGCCUGAGCUCUCCAGAGGAGCUGCCCAUGGCAAGGCCUAACGGAGACAGAUGCUCAUGGGUGAACGUCAGGAGUGACCCAUCGCUGUAGUUCAUUCAGCUCACAAGAGGCAGCUUAAAGGAGAAACCAAAGGCAACAUCAGCAGAACUUCUGAACAGAUAACCGC
Molecule: long non-coding RNA, 273 nt
Organism: Oryzias melastigma (Indian medaka)
Lineage: Eukaryota; Metazoa; Chordata; Actinopteri; Beloniformes; Adrianichthyidae
Exons: 3
Source: RefSeq, a predicted model, not a curated record